AGUGAACGCUGGCGGUAGGCCUAACACAUGCAAGUCGAACGGCAGCACAGUAAGAGCUUGCUCUUACGGGUGGCGAGUGGCGGACGGGUGAGGAAUACAUCGGAAUCUACUUUUUCGUGGGGGAUAACGUAGGGAAACUUACGCUAAUACCGCAUACGACCUACGGGUGAAAGCAGGGGAUCUUCGGACCUUGCGCGAUUGAAUGAGCCGAUGUCGGAUUAGCUAGUUGGCGGGGUAAAGGCCCACCAAGGCGACGAUCCGUAGCUGGUCUGAGAGGAUGAGCAGCCACACUGGAAGAGAGACACGGUCCAGACUCCUACGGGAGGCAGCAGUGGGGAAUAUUGGACAAGGGGCGCAAGCCUGACCCAGCCAUACCGCGUGGGUAAAAAAGGCUUGGGGUUUGUAAACCCGUUUUUUGGGGAAAAAAAAGCAGCAGGUUAAUCCCCCGCUGUUCUGACGGUACCAAAAAAAAAAGCACCGGCUAACUUCGUG
This 492-nucleotide ribosomal RNA is filed under the name uncultured bacterium. RNAcentral's name for it is "partial 16S ribosomal RNA". It matches the Rfam family "Bacterial small subunit ribosomal RNA", at positions 29 to 507 of the family's 1533-position model. The record is from RNAcentral.